AGAGGUCUGGGAGAUGUUUGCCUUUGAGAAAUGCAGGAAGCAGCCAGCAAGCAAGGUGCUGAAGCCCAAAAAUGAAAUCGGCUUCAAGGUCAUCAAAGGCUCUUAGGAAGGAUAAGGAGACAUCUGGAUGGGACAGUUCAGGUGUAGAAGCCACCCUCCAAAGCCGAGAAGAGAUCCCUGCCUGUCUUAUUUCGGCAGUUUGUUUCACACCUCUCCAUGCAGUGAGGUUCAGCAUGGUGGAUGCGAUGAGGAAAAUAGCCUUGUCGAAGGCACCUGUGUCACUGGACAUGUACAGGAGUUUGUAUAUGACAGACUACAGAUGGCACAAGGAGUACCAGCCGCCCACCGAGGAGUACUUGCAGAAGCUAAAGUCUGCAGAUUCCCAGCUAAAAGCCAAGGAGUUUGCAGUACCUCAAGAGCAGCGGUUGAUGAACUACUGGGACAAUGUGGUCGGAGAGGGAAGAGAGGUCAUCCCAGGACCGUGCAGUAAAGUGAACAGGCUUUCUGAUGACAUGCCAGAGAAGAAGCAGAAAGAAAGCUAUCUACCAAAAUCCUACCCUGCAACUGAAGCAACAGCAACCCAGGAGGAGAAGCUGGAGAGGCCACAGGCUCUUACUAAGCUAGAAAAUGAGCUUUCCUGUUCCCAUUGUCUUCCAGCUGCUGUUCAGACUCCUGGAACAGAAGGGAUGUUGCUGCACAAGCAGGAGCUGGAUCGGGGCUGGGCUGCCUACCAGCAAUUCAUCUUGGAGACAUGUCGGGCAAGGCAAUUUAAAGCUCAAGAAAACAAGAGCAUGGUCUUGGGCUCAUCUGUUUUGGGGGAAGAAUGUUUUGACCUUGACUGCAGAACUACCUACAACACAGAUUUCCAGCCCUUGCCUGGAGCCCAUGGUGGACACUGUAAAGCAAAUAGGACUCUCUCUCACAUUUUUGCUGAAGAUGAGUGCUUUAACCAGAACUACUGGGUAUCAGAGUACGAGGACAGCUACAGUGUUUUCUUACGGAGGCUGAACCGGUCAUCUCAAAUCCCCACUGCAGGGCUGUGUUCAGCCGUAAAGCCCAUCUCACAUCUACCCCACAGGCUGUCCUCUCAGAAAGCGAUUGCUGUGGACACAGCCCAGUGAGAGGUGCUACAGCUGUCCAUGGAUGUGUUACCUACACUAUUCUGUGAUUACAGCUCUGUGGCUCUCCAAGUUGUCUGUGUGAUAUUGUCUGUGGGAGACCCUGGAAGCCUGGAAGCACUUUAUCUUCCCAACCUACCAUUGUGGCUAUAGAGUAUUUGUGAAGUGCUUAGCAGAGACCCCUUUACACACAUAUUUUCAUUAAAUCCCCCAAGAACUCUGGCUCUUAUCAGUGUCAGGAAAACACUCUUGUGCAGGGCAAUCCUUGGAGCUAAAAUCACUCAGGCAGUUUCAAUUCAUGUACUCUAAAUAAAACUUGCCAAUAAACUUCA
RNAcentral lists this long non-coding RNA (1450 nucleotides) under Struthio camelus australis. Its description in RNAcentral is "lncRNA (ENSSCUG00000015341.1)". Lineage: Eukaryota; Metazoa; Chordata; Aves; Struthioniformes; Struthionidae. The record is from RNAcentral.